RNAcentral lists this long non-coding RNA (684 nucleotides) under Homo sapiens (human). RNAcentral describes it as "non-protein coding lnc-WDR26-1:19". The record is from RNAcentral. Lineage: Eukaryota; Metazoa; Chordata; Mammalia; Primates; Hominidae.
GCAGCGCCGGGGGCUGAGGAAAGGUGGGUGGCGAAGCGCCGCCGGGCGCUUGGUGGCCGCUGCCGCCGCCACUGCAGCUGUGCACGCCCGCCUCUCGGAGGAAACUUGAAGCCAGCAGUACAAGCAGGGCUGGAGGCCGAGCGGAGCCAUCCGACCUUGGGACUAGGGAAACGUGGACUUGGUGGGCUAUUCUGCGCUGAAGAGGCAGCAACGAGGGCUCGGUGGUAUUGGUGUUGGUCCUAGUGGAAUUGUCAAGAGGAUGCUUUUGAAGUGGCCCAGCAUCUUGGAAGUUCACCAUGCUUGCUUUGCAAGAGAUUCCUGACGCUGCAGUGAAAGAGGUCCAGUCAUUCCAGAGAGAACUUCAGUUUCAGACAAGUCAUCAAAUCCAGAAAGCAAGGAAAAAUACCCUGAAAGACGACUGGCAAAUCUCGGUGAAAGAGUAGACGCACUUCAUGGAUUGGAGUGAAUCUUAGAGCACCUGGUACCUUGCACAGGACCUGAUGCCUGGAGGUACAGCAGCCAUCUUGUGACCAUAAGGAGGAAAUCAACGCAUUAAGAAGGGAAAAGCUAAGAAGAUACAGAGAGCAGGGACCACUGACAACAUGAUCAAGCCACUCUACCAGGCCUUAACUUCCUAUUCCCUGACUUCUUAUUGAAAGAGACAAUAAAACUUCUCAUUUGUUU